GACAUCCAGAGAACUUAGCAGAGAUGCUUUGGUGCCUUCGGGAACUCUGAGACAGGUGCUGCAUGGCUGUCGUCAGCUCGUGUUGUGAAAUGUUGGUUAAGUCCCGCAACGAGCGCAACCCUUAUCCUUUGUUGCCAGCGGUUCGACCGGGAACUCAAAGGAGACUGCCGGUGAUAAACCGGAGGAAGGUGGGGAUGACGUCAAGUCAUCAUGGCCCUUACGGCCAGGGCUACACACGUGCUACAAUGGCGCAUACAAAGAGAAGCGACCUCGCGAGAGCAAGCGGACCUCAUAAAGUGCGUCGUAGUCCGGAUUGGAGUCUGCAACUCGACUCCAUGAAGUCGGAAUCGCUAGUAAUCGUAGAUCAGAAUGCUACGGUGAAUACGUUCCCGGGCCUUGUACACACCGCCCGUCACACCAUGGGAGUGGGUUGCAAAAGAAGUAGGUAGCUUAACCUUCGGGAGGGCGCUUACCACUUUGUGAUUCAUGACUGGGGUGAAGUCGUAACAAGGUAGGCGUAGCGAG
Molecule: ribosomal RNA, 525 nt
Filed under: uncultured bacterium
Lineage: Bacteria
Description: bacterial SSU rRNA
Rfam family: Bacterial small subunit ribosomal RNA
Source: RNAcentral